UAUUUGGAGGACAGGCAGGUAGAUCUGCAGCUGUAAAACCCGAGGCCCCGAGGCGGGCUUGCACAGCUCCCCUGGCUCUCCGUCCACGUCCACGUCUCUGCUGUCCACUGCUCCUAGAGCACCUUUCGACUCUUGGAAACAGGAACUGCCAGUUAAAAAGAAUACUACCUAUUUUAUUGAGCCUGAAGGGUUGAGGACAUCACAGACCAGAGACUUUGACCAGCCAGAAAAAGAGAGAUGACAGCAACUGAGAUGAAAGGGUCCUGAAAUCACAUCACAUCCCUGCGCCCAACUCUGCGGAGCGAGGCCCUGUCAAGGCUCCGGGUCUCCUGGCGACCUCUCAAACCUCAUUUCCCACCCCCGCCCCCUGACUGUCUGCCCUCCAGCGUCCCCGACCUCCUUG
This 403-nucleotide long non-coding RNA is filed under the name Sus scrofa (pig). Its description in RNAcentral is "lncRNA (ENSSSCG00040051555.1)". The record is from RNAcentral. Lineage: Eukaryota; Metazoa; Chordata; Mammalia; Artiodactyla; Suidae.